AUUAACAUCUAUUAACAGUAAUUAACAUGAAUACCUAUGAACUUGGUCAGGUUUUUAAAUAAUAUAGCGAUGUAGAUUAGCAAACACUAAUCUCAUGACAUUUCUCCUUUCAACCGAAACUGUUUUAAACAGAUUCGUUGUUCAACGCAAUGAUCACCCCAAUCAUUGCGUUUUUUUUGCAUCUCAUAAUAUUA
RNAcentral lists this small RNA (194 nucleotides) under Acinetobacter sp. ATCC 27244. RNAcentral's name for it is "Aar sRNA". It matches the Rfam family "Aar sRNA". Lineage: Bacteria; Pseudomonadati; Pseudomonadota; Gammaproteobacteria; Moraxellales; Moraxellaceae. The record is from Rfam by way of RNAcentral.